AGAGCGAACGCUGGCGGCAGGCUUAACACAUGCAAGUCGAGCGGAUGUAGCAAUACAUCAGCGGCAGACGGGAGAGGAACACGUGGGAACGCGCCCUUUGGUUCGGAAUAACUCAGGGAAACUUGAGCUAAUACCGGAUAAGCCCUUACGGGGAAAGAUUUAUCGCCAAAGGAACGGCCCGCGUCCGAUUAGCUAGUUGGUGAGGUAAUGGCUCACCAAGGCGACGAUCGGUAGCUGGUCUGAGAGGAUGACCAGCCUCACUGGGACUGAGACACGGCCCAGACUCCUACGGGAGGCAGCAGUGGGGAAUAUUGGACAAUGGGCGCAAGCCUGAUCCAGCCAUGCCGCGUGAGUGAUGAAGGCCUUAGGGUUGUAAAGCUCUUUAGCAGGGAAGAUAAUGACGGUACCUGCAGAAAAGCCCGGCUAACUUCGCGCCAGCAGCCGC
This 445-nucleotide ribosomal RNA is filed under the name uncultured bacterium. RNAcentral's name for it is "SSU rRNA". It matches the Rfam family "Bacterial small subunit ribosomal RNA", at positions 26 to 518 of the family's 1533-position model. The record is from RNAcentral.